Molecule: transfer RNA, 73 nt
Filed under: Chloroflexi bacterium RBG_16_48_7
Lineage: Bacteria; Bacillati; Chloroflexota
Also listed under: 3 other names
Description: tRNA-Arg
Rfam family: tRNA
About the family: Transfer RNA (tRNA) molecules are approximately 80 nucleotides in length. Their secondary structure includes four short double-helical elements and three loops (D, anti-codon, and T loops). Further hydrogen bonds mediate the characteristic L-shaped molecular structure. tRNAs have two regions of fundamental functional importance: the anti-codon, which is responsible for specific mRNA codon recognition, and the 3' end, to which the tRNAs corresponding amino acid is attached (by aminoacyl-tRNA synthetases). tRNAs cope with the degeneracy of the genetic code in two manners: having more than one tRNA (with a specific anti-codon) for a particular amino acid; and 'wobble' base-pairing, i.e. permitting non-standard base-pairing at the 3rd anti-codon position.
Source: RNAcentral
GCCCCUGUAGCUCAGAGGAUAGAGCAGCGGUUUCCUAAACCGCGUGUCGUGCGUUCGACUCGCACCAGGGGUA